UGCCAGCCGCCGCGGUAAUACGGAGGGGGUUAGCGUUGUUCGGAAUUACUGGGCGUAAAGCGCACGUAGGCGGACUGGAAAGUUGGGGGUGAAAUCCCAGGGCUCAACCCCGGAACUGCCUCUAAUACUGCUAGUCUUGAGUUCAAGAGAGGUGAGUGGAAUUCCGAGUGUAGGGGUGAAAUCCGUAGAUAUUCGGAGGAACACCAGUGGCGAAGGCGGCUUUCUGGACCGAUACUGACGCUGAGACGCGAAAGCGUGGGGAGCAAACAGGAUUAGAUA
This 279-nucleotide ribosomal RNA is filed under the name uncultured bacterium. RNAcentral describes it as "partial 16S ribosomal RNA". It matches the Rfam family "Bacterial small subunit ribosomal RNA", at positions 506 to 784 of the family's 1533-position model. The record is from RNAcentral.